UGGCUAUUAUUUCAACGAGCGCUGUCCCCACAAAAUGAAUAUCAUGAAGGCAAGGAAAAUGAUGGGACAAGUUCCAGAUGAUAGGGCUUAUCAUCUUUUUUCUUUCUUUUUUGCACGUUUAGAGGAAGAUUUGUUUGUAAAAAGAGGUAGUCAUUAUUUUUGUAGCAAGAUACUUAAGAAGGAACGAAAGCUGAUGGGCAUGGUCCAGCUCAAAUAGGUGACAACUAAACCAGAAGAUGUGUUAUGCUGAAUUCAGUUUCUCAAAAUAGCACAUGAUGGGCUGUAUAUAUCUCUAAUAUCAAGACAUCUUACCUGUAAUACAAAACACAAGAAGAGAGAAUUGAAGAAUUGUUAAUAGAAACAAUGUUUUCCAUAAGAACCCAUGUAAAUUAGGAAAAUGGCCCCCAUUUCGACAAAAAUAUUCAAACAUUUAUUA
Argiope bruennichi is the source of this 436-nucleotide long non-coding RNA. RefSeq lists it as uncharacterized. Lineage: Eukaryota; Metazoa; Arthropoda; Arachnida; Araneae; Araneidae. The record is from RefSeq and is a predicted model, not a curated record. The transcript is spliced from 2 exons.